Molecule: ribosomal RNA, 466 nt
Filed under: uncultured bacterium
Lineage: Bacteria
Description: partial 16S ribosomal RNA
Rfam family: Bacterial small subunit ribosomal RNA
Source: RNAcentral
GACGAACGCUGGCGGCGUGCUUAACACAUGCAAGUCGAACGGAAAGGCCCUGCUUGCAGGGUACUCGAGUGGCGAACGGGUGAGUAACACGUGGGUGAUCUGCCCUGCACUUCGGGAUAAGCCUGGGAAACUGGGUCUAAUACCGGAUAGGAGCCAUUUUUAGUGUGAUGGUUGGAAAGUUUUUUCGGUGUAGGAUGAGCUCGCGGCCUAUCAGCUUGUUGGUGGGGUAAUGGCCUACCAAGGCGGCGACGGGUAGCCGGCCUGAGAGGGUGGACGGCCACAGUGGGACGGAGAUACGGCCCAGACUCCUACGGGAGGCAGCAGUGGGGAAUAUUGCACAAUGGGCGCAAGCCUGAUGCAGCGACGCCGCGUGGGGGAUGACGGCCUUCGGGUUGUAAACUCCUUUCGCUAGGGACGAAGCGUUUUGUGACGGUACCUAGAUAAGAAGCACCGGCUAACUACGGGC